AGCGAACGCUGGCGGCAGGCCUAACACAUGCAAGUCGAACGGAUCCUUCGGGAUUAGUGGCGGACGGGUGAGUAACACGUGGGAACGUGCCCUUUGGUUCGGAACAACUCAGGGAAACUUGAGCUAAUACCGGAUGUGCCCUUCGGGGGAAAGAUUUAUCGCCAUUGGAGCGGCCCGCGUCUGAUUAGCUAGUUGGUGGGGUAAAGGCCCACCAAGGCGACGAUCAGUAGCUGGUCUGAGAGGAUGAUCAGCCACAUUGGGACUGAGACACGGCCCAAACUCCUACGGGAGGCAGCAGUGGGGAAUCUUGCGCAAUGGGCGAAAGCCUGACGCAGCCAUGCCGCGUGAAUGAUGAAGGUCUUAGGGUUGUAAAGCUCUUUCAGCUGGGAAGAUAAUGACUGUACCAGCAGAAGAAGCCCCGGCUAACUCCGUGCCAGCAGCCGCGGUAA
Molecule: ribosomal RNA, 449 nt
Filed under: uncultured bacterium
Lineage: Bacteria
Description: partial 16S ribosomal RNA
Rfam family: Bacterial small subunit ribosomal RNA
Source: RNAcentral